RNAcentral lists this ribosomal RNA (510 nucleotides) under uncultured bacterium. RNAcentral's name for it is "partial 16S ribosomal RNA". It matches the Rfam family "Bacterial small subunit ribosomal RNA", at positions 28 to 507 of the family's 1533-position model. The record is from RNAcentral.
GACGAACGCUGGCGGCGUGCUUAACACAUGCAAGUCGAACGAAGAGCGAAGGAAGCUUGCUUCUAUCAAUCUUAGUGGCGAACGGGUGAGUAACGCGUAAUCAACCUGCCCUUCAGAGGGGGACAACAGUUGGAAACGACUGCUAAUACCGCAUACGAUCUAAUCUCGGCAUCGAGGAUAGAUGAAAGGUGGCCUCUACAUGUAAGCUAUCACUGAAGGAGGGGAUUGCGUCUGAUUAGCUAGUUGGAGGGGUAACGGCCCACCAAGGCGAUGAUCAGUAGCCGGUCGGAGAGGAUGAACGGCCACAUUGGGACUGAGACACGGCCCAGACUCCUACGGGAGGCAGCAGUGGGGAAUCUUCCGCAAUGGACGAAAGUCUGACGGAGCAACGCCGCGUGAGGGAUGACGGCCUUCGGGUUGUAAAGCUCGGUUAAUCGGGACGAAAGGCCUUCUUGCGAAUAGUGAGAAGGAUUGACGGUACCGGAAUAGAAAGCCACGGCUAACUACGUG